CACAAGGCUCAGGUCACACAGUCACACCUGUGCAGACCUAAACUAGGAUCUCCCAAGCUGGAUGUGUAGCUAGUUGCCAAAAGUGCAAAGUCUCAUUGCAGAAUUUUGCCAACACAAAGGAAUUCAGUGCAACAAGCAGCAGCAGAAAUAACUCCCAGCUUAAACUCAUCACCUUUCUCUUCUUAUAUAUUCACAGUCUGACCCCAUGUUCUCCAGUUUUUACAGUGACUUAUGGAGUUCUUAACCUCCUUCUCUAGUGAACACCAAACUCCAUGCAAAAUCUCAAGAUGCUCAUGACCUCUUUUGGCUUUUUCGAUGGCUUUGCAUAGUAAUCUGCUCUUGGAAACUUCCUCUCCCCUAUACAGCUAUAGAGAAUCAUUAGGGCACUCACAGGGUUUAAAUAGGGAAACGUUACUCUGUGCAUCGAUGUGAAAUAGGCUUUUCAGCCUUGCAAUUUUUCCUGGUACCUCCCAACUUUUUCCAGCUUUGCAGCAAUCUCUGAACAUGCAAACUGGUCAGAAAUAGCCGGUGAGCCUCAGACCACCAGGACCAGCUCCCUUUCUGGAAGUUCUCUGAGCAGUUGUCCUGCAAAACACCCAUGCGUUUUGUUCCUUGAAAGCACCCGAAGCGCAGAGCAGAGCAGCAGGUAACAGCACUGCAGUGCAAACUGCACCCCUGGCACUGAUCUUGGGGGUAUUCGCCCUGCUGCAGCUCUCCUAUGCUUCCCACCUGCCUUCAGGAAUGCUUUUCUACCACGAGAAGCUCGCAGCAGGGUUCUGACAGCAGAUACCCGAAGACCAAACUUCAUUCUUUCAAUUCUCCGUGAAUUUAGAAGUUGUUCUGAGAGACCGUCCGGCACGGCGGGCUCCCACUGACCUGAAGGACCGCCUCCUUUCUCUUCGCAGCCAUUCUUCCACAGCAACAGCAGGUCGCUGCGCAGCGCCCAGUCGGCGUCUUCUAAUUACGUGACUCCAACCGCUGCCAGCCUGCACCACACGGAGCCUUUUACCUGUCGCUGCUCAUCUAUCUGGGACCCGGCAGGAGCAGGGCUGGAGCCGACGUGCUGCUGCAGCACCCGAGUCAAAACGCCUGUGGAAGGAGCAGACUGGGCCCGGGAUCAGGCCCAGUCAACAUGGGUUCAUGAAAUGUAGUUCCUGCUUAACAAACCUGAUGCCACCUUAUGACAAAGUGACCCACUUAGUGGAUGAGGGUAAGGCUGUUGAUGUGGUUUGCCUGGACUUCAGUAAAGCCUUUGACCCCCACAGCAUCCUUGUGGAGAAGCUGGCAGCCCACAGUUUGGAUAGGAAUACACUCUGCUGGGUGAAACACUGGCUGGAUGGCCAGGCCCAAAGAGUUGUGGUCAAUGGAGUUAAAUCCAGGUGGUGGCCGGUCAUGAGUGGUGUCCCCCAGAGCUCAGUACUGGGGCCACUACUAUUUAACACCUUUAUCAGUGAUCUUGUUGAGGGGAUUGAGCGCACUCUCAGUAAGUUUGCAGAGAGCACCAAGUUGGGAGGGAGCAUUGAUCUGCCAGAGGGGAGAAAGGCACUACAGAGGGACCUGAAUAGACAGGGUUGAUGGGCCAAGGCAAACUG
Molecule: long non-coding RNA, 1592 nt
Organism: Gallus gallus (chicken)
Lineage: Eukaryota; Metazoa; Chordata; Aves; Galliformes; Phasianidae
Source: Ensembl